AAUAAUACAUCAAUAUUAGUUUUCUCAUGGUAUCAUUCGGGAAGAAUAAUCACUGAAUUUUUUGGAUCCUAGGUUUUCAUCUCCGUACUUUUCUUUGAUGAAGAAUCAAUUUUUUGUUUCCGCUGCAUCAUCAUCAUCAUCAUCAUCAUCAUCAAAAGUCACAAGAAGAAGAAGAAAAAGAAAAAGAAGAAGAAGAAAUCAAAUUCUGAUAUUGAAGAAGCUUCUAUUUCCACUGCUGUAAUGAUCAGAAAUUUGGGGUUUCUUUGCUACAACGAUGAUGAAUUCCUAUUUGAUAGAGGUAAUUUUUCGUUACCAUUAUAUAUCAGUUGUGAUUUCAAAUUAGGGUUCUUGAAAUUGCUGGUAAUUGAUGGUGUUCUUCACAAAGAUGCAUUCAUCAACUUAAUAUUUCUUUUCAAACCCUGAAAGUUAAAAUCAAAAUCUUUCUCAUAAAAAAAAAUCAUCUUUGUGAAUUCUCUAAUAAGUUUUGACAAUAUCUACAUCAGUUUUGUCUUCCGCUGCUGAAGGAGUUAUUUCUGGGUUUCCAAUUAUUGGGUUUCUCAAGUGUAUUUUCAUGUUGUCCUGCACAAAGACUUUAAGGGUUAUCAAUUUAAAUCUUAUCAGUUCUUCAUUCGAAGAUUGGGUAUCGUAUUCAAUUUGGAAUUUUGGAGAGAAUUACAGGGAAAAAUUCAAUCUGCGGGAGAUUAUGCAUUGUAUGGAUGAGUUACAAAUUUUUUUUGUUUUAUGAAUUGAUUUGUGGUGCAUUUAAGAAUGGCUGGUUAUAUGUCACCUAAAUACAACUUGGUGCUUGAUAGUUAUGAAUCACUUUAUGAAGUUAUAAGACAGAAACGGAUGCACUUGCUAAACCUAAGAAAUUGAUCAAGGAGGUUGUAAUGGCUUUGCAAGAGAGUGCAAUUGUCAGAUUUACUUGUAUCUUUAGCUUCUCCAGCAAGAAGCAGUGAUCUGGUGCUUCUACUUAUUCAACUUGGAUUUGUGCUUAAGGGGUAUGCAUCUGUAUUCGAGUUAUCACUGUUUCGGGUAACUCCUUACUUCCUGUUAUUCAAUUUUUUUGUUCAUUCACAGCACUAUAUCUUUCUCAAUACCUUAGCAUCCUCAAUAUCUUUAACCAUCUUAAUACAUUAACAUUUUUCUAUACCCUACACAGAGAACACCCCUAAAAUCAAGUUGAGUCUCUUAACCAACAGAGAACACCAACAUACCAACUGGUCCUAAAAACUUUUUUAAUACCCAGUUUGGUCCCUUGUUGAUUAAUAUCUUUACAGAUUCUGGUCCUAAAAUCUUUCUUAAAAGCCAGUUUCUAAAUAUCUUUUUUCAACAAUACCUAAUAUCUUUACAGAACUAGUCCUAAAAUGUUUCAAUAACUAGUUUCUAAAUACUUUUUCAAUACCUAUUGUUAGUCUCCUUUGCUGGGAGUUCCUAAUACUGCUGAUAUUUCUACUCAUUGAAUGAGUUUAGCUUGUUCUUUUCAACCAUUACAGUCAGAGUUGAUUGUUCCAGUACUUCAUCAUCAACUACUUCUGUUACUUCAGCUAAGAAUGCUUACUUAUUGCAUGGGAAGUUAUGUUUGAUGUGAAUGGUUUUAUUGUUGGGCUUGUUGUUGUUUAACCAACAGAGAACAACAAAACAAAUAUUGGAAGCUCCAAUUUCUGCUGUUAAUCAACUUGUGUUGUUACUGGUUCUAAUGAUUGAUAAAGAGGUUCAAAAUUACUACUUGUUCAGUUACUAUUGGUUCCACUACUGAAGAUAUUUGUACUACAACAAGGUUUGAUUCAUACUUCUCCUGAUACUUCUGCAGCUUAGUUGUGUGAUAUAUUUUCAAUAACUGCUGGCUUGAUCACACAGACAUGACUGCUUCUUUCAGUUCUUUGAUGUUUACAUGCUUCUAUUACUACUUUCAAGUCUGUGCUGAGCUAGUGUUCUUCUGCAAUUCAGUUUGAGGAGUUGUACUAUUUUUUUUUCUUCAGUUCAAGUCUGUGUUGACUUUUGUUUAUCUCUUCAAACUGUUCCAUACUUUUCCAGUGUCAGUUUGUAACAUUUGAGGGGGUGUAUUAGGAUAGGUCAGUUCAAGUCUGUGUUGACUUGACUAAGGCUGUGUGUCCCAUGUUAUGGGUAUAAAUACCCUUGUCCUAUAAUUUUGUAAGGCACCUGGAAUACUUCUUAAUAAUACAACAAUAUUAGUUUUCUCAUCAUCUAGGAACAAUCUCAUAAACAGAAUUGCAAAAAUGGAUUCAGAUGUUAAAACAAAAUCAGGUGUGCAGUUGUUACCGGUGGAAAUAAAGGAAUUGGAUUUGAGAUUUGUAGACAAUUAGCUUCUAAUGGGGUUUCUGUUGUGUUAACAGUUAGAGAUGUAACUAAGGGCUCAGAAGCUGUUGAAAAGCUCAAAAAUUCUUUUGGACUUUCUAAUGUUGUUUUACAUCAGCUUGAUAUUUUAAAUCCAACCACUUUUUCUUCUCUAGAGGAAUUCAUUUAAAUCCACUUUGGAAAAUUGGAUAUCUUGGUGAAUAAUGCUGGAAUUUCUGGAGCUAUAACUGAUGCUUCUGGAUUUACAGCGCUAGGAAAAGCCCUUGUUGAGAACACAGAGAACCAAAAUUUGAAACAAACGAUAAAGAGACUUAUGAAUCGGCAGAAGAAUGUAUCCGCACAAAUUCCAUUGGAGAACUGAAGAGUAUCUCCAAUGAAAAGGCUUUGGAAAUACUUAGUAGUGAAGACGGUUUAAAAGAAGAAAAUGUAGAUGAGACAGUGAAUAUGUUUCUUAAGGAUUUCAAGGAAGAUUUACUUGAAUCAAAUAGAUGGCCGACAUAUACCCGCCUAUAGGGGUGUAAAUUUUGCCCGGCAGUCCGAGGCCCAGUAGCGUCCGCCCUGUCCCAUGACUGCCCAUGGGUGACCGUGGCCCUUUACGGGCUGGCCCGACCUAGCCCAUUUAAAUAAGAGGGCGGGCACAGGCCACAAUUCAAAUUUUCUUGCCCGGCCCAAUACCCUCCCUAUUAUCCCGUCAAUGCUACCCGCCAUGUUAGCC
This is a long non-coding RNA of Papaver somniferum (opium poppy), 3034 nucleotides long. RefSeq lists it as uncharacterized. NCBI's taxonomy places the organism in Eukaryota, Viridiplantae, Streptophyta, Magnoliopsida, Ranunculales, Papaveraceae. The transcript is spliced from 5 exons. The record is from RefSeq and is a predicted model, not a curated record.